RNAcentral lists this ribosomal RNA (273 nucleotides) under uncultured bacterium. Its description in RNAcentral is "partial 16S ribosomal RNA". It matches the Rfam family "Bacterial small subunit ribosomal RNA", at positions 524 to 794 of the family's 1533-position model. The record is from RNAcentral.
UACGUAGGGGGCAAACGUUGUCCGGAUUUACUGGGUGUAAAGGGUGCUCAGGCGGUCUUGUAAGUCAGAAGUGAAAUCCUAGGGCUUAACUCUGGAACUGCUUUUGAUACUGCAAGGCUUGAGUAUGGAAGAGGAGGAUGGAAUUUCUGGUGUAGCAGUGAAAUGCGUAGAUAUCAGAAAGAACACCAGUGGCGGAGGCGGUCCUCUGGUCCAUUUACUGACGCUAAAGCACGAAAGCGUGGGGAGCAAACAGGAUUAGAUACCCCGGGUAGU